This 75-nucleotide transfer RNA is filed under the name Podarcis lilfordi (Lilford's wall lizard). RNAcentral's name for it is "tRNA.Lys". Lineage: Eukaryota; Metazoa; Chordata; Lepidosauria; Squamata; Lacertidae. The record is from RNAcentral.
CAAGAUAGUUCAGUCGGUAGAAGCAUGAGACUCUUAAUUUCAGGGUCGUGGGUUCGAGCUCCACGUUGGGAGAGA